AGUGAACGCUGGCGGUAGGCCUAACACAUGCAAGUCGAACGGCAGCACAGUAAGAGCUUGCUCUUACGGGUGGCGAGUGGCGGACGGGUGAGGAAUACAUCGGAAUCUACUUUUUCGUGGGGGAUAACGUAGGGAAACUUACGCUAAUACCGCAUACGACCUACGGGUGAAAGCAGGGGAUCUUCGGACCUUGCGCGAUUGAAUGAGCCGAUGUCGGAUUAGCUAGUUGGCGGGGUAAAGGCCCACCAAGGCGACGAUCCGUAGCUGGUCUGAGAGGAAGAUCGGCCACACUGGAACUGAGACACGGUCCAGACUCCUACGGGAGGCAGCAGUGGGGAAUAUUGGACAAUGGGCGCAAGCCUGAUCCAGCCAUACCGCGUGGGUGAAGAAGGCCUUCGGGUUGUAAAGCCCUUUUGUUGGGAAAGAAAAGCAGCAGGUUAAUACCCCGCUGUUCCGACGGUACCCAAAGAAUAAGCACCGGCUAACUUCGUG
RNAcentral lists this ribosomal RNA (492 nucleotides) under uncultured bacterium. Its description in RNAcentral is "partial 16S ribosomal RNA". It matches the Rfam family "Bacterial small subunit ribosomal RNA", at positions 29 to 507 of the family's 1533-position model. The record is from RNAcentral.